GACGAACGCUGGCGGCGUGCUUAACACAUGCAAGUCGAACGGGCCUUGUCCCCUUUUUUUUUGGGGGUGGGGUUAGUGGCGAACGGGUGAGUAACACGUUAGUAACCUGCCCCUCACUUCUGGAUAACCGCUUGAAAGGGUGGCUAAUACGGGGUGUUCUGGCCUGCUCGCAUGGGUGGGUUUGGAAAGAUUCGACCGGUUUUGGUUGUUUUGGUGGGGGAUGGGCUCGCGGCCUAUCAGCUUGUUGGUGGGGUGAUGGCCUGCCAAGGCUUUGACGGGUAGCCGGCCUGAGAGGGUGGGCGGUCACACUGGGACUGAGACACGGCCCAGACUCCUACGGGAGGCAGCAGUGGGGAAUAUUGCACAAUGGGCGCAAGCCUGAUGCAGCGACGCCGCGUGAGGGAUGGAGGCCUUCGGGUUGUGAACCUCUUUCGCCAGUGAAGAAGGUCCUGCUCUUUGUGGUGGGGUUGACGGUAGCUGGGUUAAUGAAGCGCCGGCUAACUACGUG
RNAcentral lists this ribosomal RNA (508 nucleotides) under uncultured bacterium. Its description in RNAcentral is "partial 16S ribosomal RNA". It matches the Rfam family "Bacterial small subunit ribosomal RNA", at positions 28 to 507 of the family's 1533-position model. The record is from RNAcentral.